Musa acuminata subsp. malaccensis (wild Malaysian banana) is the source of this 579-nucleotide non-coding RNA. Lineage: Eukaryota; Viridiplantae; Streptophyta; Magnoliopsida; Zingiberales; Musaceae. The record is from RefSeq and is a predicted model, not a curated record.
ACGAUAGGCACGAGGAGGAUGACGACGACCCACGGGGGGAGUCGACGACGGUGGCUGCCCUUCUUGACGCGUCUUCCCUCAUCGGCGGCGCAAGGCAACCAUAUAACAGCAGUAGCAUCGGAAAAACUAUCACGUGCAUGGUAGACACCGAUACAUAUACCUAAGAAGCUGGAGGAGAGGCAGCAACCUUGAGCAGUAGAGAUUGACGACGAGUGGAUCGACGGGGAAGAAGAGUAAGGGGUGGAAUCUCCACCACUACGCGUGCACGCCGUUUACCAGUGUUGUGGUGGGGAAGAUGAGCCUCCGAUGCCAUUUAUAUAAGAAGGAUAUGUAUGGUAUUGUUUUGUGUGUGCCCGCGUGAGAGAGGGAGAGUAAUGGCAAAAAAGAUGGAAACCAUAUUGCUCGGUCAGGCGGUGAAAAUUUGGAACAAAGAGAAGGGGUAAGGGGCAAAACAGAGAGUGCGCGGGUGAAGUGGGGCCCGCACCACUCCGUGAGUGGAGAAAGUACGCGGGUGAGAAAAGCUUGUGACGUUUACAGGGCACAUUAAAAAUAAGCAACAAGGUUGACCGUGCUUCUUUA